Molecule: ribosomal RNA, 122 nt
Filed under: Salix viminalis (osier)
Lineage: Eukaryota; Viridiplantae; Streptophyta; Magnoliopsida; Malpighiales; Salicaceae
Rfam family: 5.8S ribosomal RNA
About the family: 5.8S ribosomal RNA (5.8S rRNA) is a component of the large subunit of the eukaryotic ribosome. It is transcribed by RNA polymerase I as part of the 45S precursor that also contains 18S and 28S rRNA.
Source: RNAcentral
GACUCUCGGCAACGGAUAUCUCGGCUCUCGCAUCGAUGAAGAACGUAGCGAAAUGCGAUACUUAUUAUUUGCUUUGUUGAUAUGAAGAGAAUUUAUAUAGUACAAUCCCCUUUUUAGUAUCA